ACGGAAGGCAGCAGUGGGGAAUAUUGCACAAUGGGCGAAAGCCUGAUGCAGCGACGCCGCGUGAGUGAAGAAGUAUCUCGGUAUGUAAAGCUCUAUCAGCAGGGAAGAAAAUGACGGUACCUGACUAAGAAGCCCCGGCUAACUACGUGCCAGCAGCCGCGGUAAUACGUAGGGGGCAAGCGUUAUCCGGAUUUACUGGGUGUAAAGGGAGCGUAGACGGUUUGGCAAGUCUGAAGUGAAAUGCGGGGGCUCAACUCCUGAACUGCUUUGGAAACUGUCGAACUAGAGUGCAGGAGAGGUAAGUGGAAUUCCUAGUGUAGCGGUGAAAUGCGUAGAUAUUAGGAGGAACACCAGUGGCGAAGGCGGCUUACUGGACUGUAACUGACGUUGAGGCUCGAAAGCGCGGGGAGCAAACAGGAUUAGAUACCCUGGUA
RNAcentral lists this ribosomal RNA (434 nucleotides) under uncultured Lachnospiraceae bacterium. RNAcentral describes it as "partial 16S ribosomal RNA". It matches the Rfam family "Bacterial small subunit ribosomal RNA", at positions 341 to 792 of the family's 1533-position model. Lineage: Bacteria; Bacillati; Bacillota; Clostridia; Lachnospirales; Lachnospiraceae. The record is from RNAcentral.